Homo sapiens (human) is the source of this 487-nucleotide long non-coding RNA. RefSeq lists it as uncharacterized. NCBI's taxonomy places the organism in Eukaryota, Metazoa, Chordata, Mammalia, Primates, Hominidae. The record is from RefSeq and is a predicted model, not a curated record. The transcript is spliced from 3 exons.
GUGCAGCAGCUUCCUCUGGCCAGCAUGGUGUCCACAGCCCAGAACCUGGCACUAGGAGAUUCCUGGAGAAAAUGGGUACCAAGUCCACAGGAAGAAGUAAGUUCUUGGAUAGAUCCAGUGCAAGGUCAGUUUGCCUUAGCAGAGCACCAGAGUUCAGCAAAAGAAUGAACAUGUUCUAAUGUCAAGAUCACUCACUUUGGGAGAAGCCAACCACCAUGCCAGUAGAUACUCGAGAUGCCCAACAAAAGUGACCACAUGGUGAGAAACUAAGGCCCCUUACCCAUAACCAGCACUAAUUCGCCAUGUAAGUCACCUUGGAAUUGGAUCCUCCAGCCUUGGUCUAGUCCUCAGAUGACUGCAACCACACACAGCUACCACGUUGACUGCAAUCUCAAAAAAAGACCCUGAGCCAGAAUCACCAUCUAAGCCCCUCCCAUAUUCCAGCCCCACAGAGUUAUGUGAGAUAAUAAAUGUUUAUUAUUUUGAA